ACCAAGAAUUGCACAGUAGAAUCAGUGGGUCAAAUCCAGCAACCAGAAGAUGUGGCAACCACUCCUUAUAUUUUGCUUGUGCUUUAAUUGCAUGAUUUACAAAUUCAUAUAUAUGGUUCCAUGGUCCCAAUGAGCAACCUUUCCUCAAAAAGUAGCGAAAUAUCGAAAACUUCUCGUACUUCAGGCAGUAUGCCAAAUGAAGUUCAUUUAUCUGGGCUCCAUAUUUCAAAAGAAUGUUCACAAUUCCAAAGAACUCACAGCUCCACCAUAAAAAUCCUUUUGGAAAGCCAUGCACACAGGAGAACUGAAUCCAAAAACAAGGCACGCCUGGGCGUCUGGGCUGUAGCCAUUCCGGAGUAAUAUUUCUAGGCAAUCUUCAUGUCCCCCAAACACUGCUGAGUAAACAGGGCUUACUUUGUUUAGCCCAGUGUCACAGGCCCGGUUAGUAAGUGGUAUUAACAAGUCCAAGAUUC
This 473-nucleotide long non-coding RNA is filed under the name Homo sapiens (human). RNAcentral describes it as "HSALNT0031615". Lineage: Eukaryota; Metazoa; Chordata; Mammalia; Primates; Hominidae. The record is from RNAcentral.